This 456-nucleotide ribosomal RNA is filed under the name uncultured Anoxybacillus sp. RNAcentral's name for it is "bacterial SSU rRNA". It matches the Rfam family "Bacterial small subunit ribosomal RNA", at positions 925 to 1382 of the family's 1533-position model. Lineage: Bacteria; Bacillati; Bacillota; Bacilli; Caryophanales; Anoxybacillaceae. The record is from RNAcentral.
ACAAGCGGUGGAGCAUGUGGUUAAUUCGAAGCAACGCGAAGAACCUUACCAGGUCUUGACAUCCCUGACAACCCGAGAGAUCGGGCGUUCCCCUUCGGGGGGACAGGGUGACAGGUGGUGCAUGGUUGUCGUCAGCUCGUGUCGUGAGAUGUUGGGUUAAGUCCCGCAACGAGCGCAACCCUCGACCUUAGUUGCCAGCAUUCAGUUGGGCACUCUAAGGUGACUGCCGGCUAAAAGUCGGAGGAAGUGGGGAUGACGUCAAAUCAUCAUGCCCCUUAUGACCUGGGCUACACACGUGCUACAAUGGGCGGUACAAAGGGUCGCGAACCCGCGAGGGGGAGCCAAUCCCAAAAAGCCGCUCUCAGUUCGGAUUGCAGGCUGCAAUUCGCCUGCAUGAAGUCGGAAUCGCUAGUAAUCGCAGGUCAGCAUACUGCGGUGAAUACGUUCCCGGGCCUU